GACGAACCGCCCGAACGUUAUUCGGAAUCACUGGGCUUAAAGGGAGCGUAGGCGGGCUGCCAAGUCCGGGGUGAAAUCCUCCAGCUUAACUGGAGAACUGCCUCGGAUACUGGAAGUCUCGAGGAGGGUAGGGGCAAGUGGAACCGUGGGUGGAGCGGUGAAAUGCGUUGAUAUCCAUGGGAACUCCGGUGGCGAAGGCGACUUGCUGGACCCUUCUGACGCUGAGGCUCGAAAGCCAGGGGGAGCGAACAGG
RNAcentral lists this ribosomal RNA (253 nucleotides) under uncultured bacterium. RNAcentral's name for it is "partial 16S ribosomal RNA". It matches the Rfam family "Bacterial small subunit ribosomal RNA", at positions 524 to 776 of the family's 1533-position model. The record is from RNAcentral.